Molecule: ribosomal RNA, 458 nt
Filed under: uncultured bacterium
Lineage: Bacteria
Description: partial 16S ribosomal RNA
Rfam family: Bacterial small subunit ribosomal RNA
Source: RNAcentral
CCUACGGGGGGCAGCAGUGGGGAAUAUUGCACAAUGGGGGAGACCCUGAUGCAGCGACGCCGCGUGAGUGAAGAAGUAUUUCGGUAUGUAAAGCUCUAUCAGCAGGGAAGAAAUAGCGACCUUUGGGUCGCCAGACGGUACCUGACUAAGAAACCCCGGCUAACUACGUGCCAGCAGCCGCGGUAAUACGGAGGGGGCAAGCGUUAUCCGGAUUUACUGGGUGUAAAGGGAGCGUAGACGGCGGCACAAGUCUGAAGUGAAAUGCCGGGGCUUAACCCCGGAACUGCUUUGGAAACUGUGCAGCUAGAGUGCAGGAGAGGUAAGUGGAAUGCGUAGUGUAGCGGUGAAAUGCGUAGAUAUCAGGAGGAACACCAGUGGCGAAGGCGGCUUACUGGACCGUAACUGACGUUGAGGCUCGAAAGCGUGGGGAGCAAACAGGAUUAGAUACCCCAGUAGUC